This 525-nucleotide ribosomal RNA is filed under the name bacterium 25BK. RNAcentral describes it as "bacterial SSU rRNA". It matches the Rfam family "Bacterial small subunit ribosomal RNA", at positions 66 to 602 of the family's 1533-position model. The record is from RNAcentral.
ACGAUGAAGCCGGAGCUUGCUCCGGUGGAUUAGUGGCGAACGGGUGAGUAACACGUGAGUAAUCUGCCCCUGACUCUGGGAUAAGCGCUGGAAACGGCGUCUAAUACCGGAUACGAGCUGCGAAGGCAUCUUCAGCAGCUGGAAAGAAUUUCGGUCAGGGAUGAACUCGCGUCCUAUCAGCUAGUUGGUGAGGUAAAGGCUCACCAAGGCGACGACGGGUAGCCGGCCUGAGAGGGUGACCGGCCACACUGGGACUGAGACACGGCCCAGACUCCUACGGGAGGCAGCAGUGGGGAAUAUUGCACAAUGGGCGCAAGCCUGAUGCAGCAACGCCGCGUGAGGGAUGACGGCCUUCGGGUUGUAAACCUCUUUUAGCAGGGAAGAAGCGAAAGUGACGGUACCUGCAGAAAAAGCACCGGCUAACUACGUGCCAGCAGCCGCGGUAAUACGUAGGGUGCAAGCGUUGUCCGGAAUUAUUGGGCGUAAAGAGCUCGUAGGCGGUUUGUCGCGUCUGCUGUGAAAAUC